RNAcentral lists this ribosomal RNA (253 nucleotides) under uncultured bacterium. RNAcentral's name for it is "partial 16S ribosomal RNA". It matches the Rfam family "Bacterial small subunit ribosomal RNA", at positions 524 to 776 of the family's 1533-position model. The record is from RNAcentral.
GACGAACCGUCCAAACGUUAUUCGGAAUCACUGGGCUUAAAGGGUGCGUAGGCGGCCCUGAAAGUUGGGUGUGAAAUCCCUCGGCUCAACCGAGGAACUGCGCCCAAAACUACAGGGCUUGAGGAAGACAGAGGUGAGUGGAACUUGCGGUGGAGCGGUGAAAUGCGUUGAUAUCGCAAGGAACACCAGUGGCGAAAGCGACUCACUGGGUCUUUUCUGACGCUGAGGCACGAAAGCUAGGGGAGCGAAGAGG